UAAUACGUAGGGGGCGAGCGUUGUCCGAAGUUACUGGGCGUAAAGCGCGCGUAGGCGGCUAACUAAGUCUGAGGUGAAAGGUUCAACGCUCAACGUGAACAGUGCCUUGGAGACUGGUUGGCUUGAGUGUGGCAGAGGAGCAUGGAAUUCCUGGUGUAGCGGUGAAAUGCGUAGAGAUCAGGAGGAAUACCAAUGGCGAAGGCAGUGCUCUGGGCUAACACUGACGCUGAGGUGCGAAAGCGUGGGUAGCGAACGGGAUUAGAUACCCCGGUAGUCCACGCCGUAAACGAUGAGUGCUAGGUGUAGGCGGUAUCGACCCCGCCUGUGCCGUCGUUAACACAUUAAGCACUCCGCCUGGGGAGUACGGCCGCAAGGUUG
This 378-nucleotide ribosomal RNA is filed under the name uncultured bacterium. RNAcentral describes it as "bacterial SSU rRNA". It matches the Rfam family "Bacterial small subunit ribosomal RNA", at positions 521 to 896 of the family's 1533-position model. The record is from RNAcentral.